GAGGAAUAUUGGUCAAUGGGCGAGAGCCUGAACCAGCCAAGUCGCGUGAAGGAAGACUGCCUUAUGGGUUGUAAACUUCUUUUAUACAGGAAUAAAAAGGCUUACGUGUAGGCCAUUGCAAGUACUGUAUGAAUAAGCAUCGGCUAACUCCGUGCCAGCAGCCGCGGUAAUACGGAGGAUGCGAGCGUUAUCCGGAUUUAUUGGGUUUAAAGGGUGCGCAGGCGGGCUUUUAAGUCAGCGGUGAAAUCUGGACGCUUAACGUCCAAACUGCCGUUGAAACUGGGAGUCUUGAGUAUGGAUGAAGUAGGCGGAAUUCGUUGUGUAGCGGUGACAUGCAUAGAUAUAACGAGGAACUCCGAUUGCGUAGGCAGGUCACUGGGCCGCAACUGACGCUGAGGAGCGAAAGCAUGGGGAGCGAACA
Molecule: ribosomal RNA, 421 nt
Filed under: uncultured Dysgonomonas sp.
Lineage: Bacteria; Pseudomonadati; Bacteroidota; Bacteroidia; Bacteroidales; Dysgonomonadaceae
Description: bacterial SSU rRNA
Rfam family: Bacterial small subunit ribosomal RNA
Source: RNAcentral